This 445-nucleotide ribosomal RNA is filed under the name uncultured bacterium. RNAcentral describes it as "bacterial SSU rRNA". It matches the Rfam family "Bacterial small subunit ribosomal RNA", at positions 29 to 518 of the family's 1533-position model. The record is from RNAcentral.
AACGAACGCUGGCGGCAGGCCUAACACAUGCAAGUCGAACGCCCUAGCAAUAGGGAGUGGCAGACGGGUGAGUAACACGUGGGAACCUUCCCCUAUAGUACGGAAUAGCUCAGGGAAACUUGAAGUAAUACCGUAUACGCCCGAGAGGGGAAAGAUUUAUCGCUAUAGGAUGGGCCCGCGUCGGAUUAGCUAGUUGGUGAGGUAAUGGCUCACCAAGGCGACGAUCCGUAGCUGGUUUGAGAGAACGACCAGCCACACUGGGACUGAGACACGGCCCAGACUCCUACGGGAGGCAGCAGUGGGGAAUAUUGGACAAUGGGCGCAAGCCUGAUCCAGCCAUGCCGCGUGAGUGAUGAAGGCCUUAGGGUUGUAAAGCUCUUUUAGCAGGGAAGAUAAUGACUGUACCUGCAGAAUAAGCUCCGGCUAACUUCGUGCCAGCAGCCGC